This 301-nucleotide ribosomal RNA is filed under the name uncultured bacterium. Its description in RNAcentral is "partial 16S ribosomal RNA". It matches the Rfam family "Bacterial small subunit ribosomal RNA", at positions 509 to 809 of the family's 1533-position model. The record is from RNAcentral.
CAGUAGCCGCGGGAAUACGGAGGGUGCAAGCGUUAUCCGGAUUUAUUGGGUUUAAAGGGUCCGUAGGCGGACUUAUAAGUUAGUGGUGAAAGCCUGUCGCUUAACGAUAGAACUGCCAUUGAUACUGUAAGUCUUGAGUAUAUUUGAGGUAGCUGGAAUAAGUAGUGUAGCGGUGAAAUGCAUAGAUAUUACUUAGAACACCAAUUGCGAAGGCAGGUUACCAAGAUAUAACUGACGCUGAGGGACGAAAGCGUGGGUAGCGAACAGGAUUAGAUACCCCAGUAGUCCCUGUCUCUUAUAA